Molecule: ribosomal RNA, 258 nt
Filed under: Bacillus atrophaeus
Lineage: Bacteria; Bacillati; Bacillota; Bacilli; Caryophanales; Bacillaceae
Description: partial 16S ribosomal RNA
Rfam family: Bacterial small subunit ribosomal RNA
Source: RNAcentral
CGGCGGACGGGUGAGUAACACGUGGGUAACCUGCCUGUAAGACNGGGAUAACNCCGGGAAACCGGGGCUAAUACCGGANGCUNGAUUGAACCGCAUGGUUCAAUUAUAAAAGGUGGCUUUUAGCUACCACUUACAGAUGGACCCGCGGCGCAUUAGCUAGUUGGUGAGGUAACGGCUCACCAAGGCAACGAUGCGUAGCCGACCUGAGAGGGUGAUCGGCCACACUGGGACUGAGACACGGCCCAGACUCCUACGGGA